CCGUCCACGUGCGGCCGACUACCGACGCCGUGUCCCCUCAUUCCUGUGGCUUAUGUUACUAUUGGCUUUCAAGUGCUUGCGUGCAGGUACCCGACCUACGGGAAGUGGUGCUUCUUACACGUUUCGCUCGCGGCGGACGCCCUCGGGUGCCCUGCUGUGGCCAAUUGGCGCUUGCGGCGUUUCCUCGUGGUGCUGGCAUGUUUACGUGCCUGGUGCUAUCAAGGCAGCCUCGCUCGUGCUAUUGGUUUUGGAUGUUGCUCACGAUAAAGGCUCAUGGCCCAUUUGGUUGCCUAGAUCCGACCCUCAAUAAGUUCUCCGAAUCUGAAAGUAUAGUGGAACGUGUGUUGCCUCUACCGAACCACAUUUAGUGGUAGGAUAUGGAACACUCUGGACCCUUGCUAGUAGGAGUACGAGAGCUUGGCCCGCUCAAUUGCGACAACUGGCCUGGCUGCUGUCCGCCUGUAUGGGCGGGCAACUACCGGCGCUGGAUGUCAAAGAGGACGUGCUACCUGGUUGAUCCUGCCAGUAGUC
Molecule: unclassified non-coding RNA, 531 nt
Filed under: Echinaria capitata
Lineage: Eukaryota; Viridiplantae; Streptophyta; Magnoliopsida; Poales; Poaceae
Description: contains 3' external transcribed spacer, ETS
Source: RNAcentral